This 443-nucleotide ribosomal RNA is filed under the name uncultured bacterium. Its description in RNAcentral is "partial 16S ribosomal RNA". It matches the Rfam family "Bacterial small subunit ribosomal RNA", at positions 338 to 795 of the family's 1533-position model. The record is from RNAcentral.
CCUACGGGAGGCAGCAGUGGGGAAUAUUGGGCAAUGGAGGCAACUCUUACCCAGCAAUGCCGCGUGAAUGAAGAAGGUCUUCGGAUUGUAAAGUUCUUUAUUUCGGGACGCAAAAAAUUACGGUACCCAAGGAAUCAGCCCUGGCUGACUAAGUGACAGCAGCCGCGGUAAUACGUAGGGGGCAAGCGUUAUCCGGAUUUAAGGGGUGUACAGGGGGGGCAGGCGGCGAUGCAAGCCAGGAGUGAAAGCCCGGGGGCCAACCCCGGGACUGCUCUUGAAACUGCGUGGCUGGAGUGCAGGAGGGGCAGGCGGAAUUCCUGGUGUAGCGGUGAAAUGCUUAGAUAUCACGAAGAACCCCGAGUGCGAAGGCAGCUUACGAACCUGUGACUGACAUUGAUGCUCGAAAGUGUGGGUAUCAAACAGGAGUAGAUACCCGAGUAGUC